GGAGGAUUCAAGCGUUAUCCGGAUUUACUGGGUGUAAAGGGAGCGUAGGUGGCAUGGUAAGCCAGAAGUGAAAACCCGGGGCUCAACCCCGCGGAUUGCUUUUGGAACUAUCAGGCUGGAGUGCUGGAGGGGUAAGCGGAAUUCCUAGUGUAGCGGUGAAAUGCGUAGAUAUUAGGAGGAACACCGGUGGCGAAGGCGACUUACUGGACAGAAACUGACACUGAGGCUCGAAAGCGUGGGGAGCAAA
This 247-nucleotide ribosomal RNA is filed under the name uncultured bacterium. Its description in RNAcentral is "partial 16S ribosomal RNA". It matches the Rfam family "Bacterial small subunit ribosomal RNA", at positions 527 to 772 of the family's 1533-position model. The record is from RNAcentral.